This is a long non-coding RNA of Prinia subflava (tawny-flanked prinia), 1093 nucleotides long. RefSeq lists it as uncharacterized. The record is from RefSeq and is a predicted model, not a curated record. The transcript has 3 exons. Lineage: Eukaryota; Metazoa; Chordata; Aves; Passeriformes; Cisticolidae.
GCUGCGCCGGGUCACGUGGGCGCUGGCGGCGGCACCUCCCCCGCGGGCGGAAGUGGCCGUCAGGGGCCGCCAGGGGCCCGGGCCGUGCUGGGGCCCCCGAGCCCCGCAGAGCCCCCAGAGCCCCCCGAGCCCCUCAGGGACCCGGCACCGCCGCCCGCUCGCCUCUCCUCCUUCCUCAGCCCAGCUGGGCGGGAAGAAGGCAAGGGGAAGAACGGGCUCGCUGCGGCCCCGCGGGGAAAGGGAACGGGGGGAACCAGCCCGGCGUCUGGAGGGGGCUCGUCCUCCCCUCCCGCCCCCGGGGUUGGCGUGCAGCGGAGAAGCCGCGCUGAGCGAGCGCCUGUCGCCCCCUGCAGCCGCCGGGGCACGGAGGGAAGGGGGGUUUGGGCCACCUGCUGCCCUCGGAAUCGCAGAAUCAUGAAGGCACUCCAUUUCACUGGAGCUGUGAAUGGAAAGCCCACGUGAACUCUGGGAAGGAAGAUCCUGAUCACAAUCCCUCGAUAUUUGGAUCAGUUGGAGCCCAGUCCAAUCCACACCUUCUGCAUCGCCACGACCCGGGUUUGGCUUCUGAAAAAUUGCACUUCCCCACAUCUUUUAGAAGCAUUUUUCAAUGGGAUUGUUUCAGAUGUUACCACCACAGCAGUGACAAAAUGAGUGAGAAGAGAGCCAGAAGGGUCCUAAAUGUUUUCCUCCAGGAAUGAACAGACACAGUGGUCCACAUGAACUGAAAACCAAAACCCUGUAGAAGAUUAUAAUCCUUUUUACCAUCAAAGCCUGCAGGAGCAGCGUGAAAGGGAGGAACUGCCAGAUCAAACCGAAAUUGUUUCUUCCCUGAAGAAAUUCCUGCUGAUGUCCCACCUGAACCUCCCCUGGCACAGCCUGAGGCCAUUUCCUCUUGCCCUGUCGCUGGAAAACCUUGGCUCCAGAGCAGAAGGGCUGCAGAGAAAUUGCCAAAAUGUUGGGUUAAUUAAGUUAGGGAGAUCUUGUGAUUGUCACCUUUUUCCUGGACGCUUUUCUUUCACUAGCCAUAUAUUGUAAAUAUGUUUGAUACGUUUUAUAUCGGUUAUGUAUACAUUUGUAUAUAUAAAUCACACAU